This 1932-nucleotide long non-coding RNA is filed under the name Solanum tuberosum (potato). Its description in RNAcentral is "long non-coding RNA (STUB_LNC011908)". The record is from RNAcentral. Lineage: Eukaryota; Viridiplantae; Streptophyta; Magnoliopsida; Solanales; Solanaceae.
UGAAUUUGUACAGGUAGUCGAUUGGAUAAGGCCUCGAUACCCAAUCAAAACUAUCGGACCAACUAUUCCAUCGAUGUAUCUUGAUAAGAGACUAAAGGAUGACAAAGAAUAUGGUUUGAGUCUCUUCAAGCCUAAUAGUGAAACUUGUAUGAAGUGGCUAGAUUCAAAGGAAAUUGGCUCUGUUGUGUAUGUAUCAUUUGGAAGUUUAGCCAGCCUUGACGAACAACAAAUGGAGGAGCUAGCUUUGGGAUUGAUAAUGAGCAAAUGUUACUUCUUGUGGGUUGUUAGAGCUACAGAAGAGAAUAAACUCCCUGAGGAAUUCAUGUCCAAGUUAUCGGAGAAAGGACUAAUGGUGAAUUGGUGCCCUCAGCUUGAUGUAUUGGCUCAUCGAGCAAUUGGAUGUUUCUUUACUCAUUCUGGAUGGAAUUCGACUCUGGAAGCAUUGAGUUUGGGAGUGCCAAUGGUGACUAUGCCUCAAUGGUCGGAUCAACCAACUAAAUAGUCCAAAGUAGAGGAGCAGAUCUAGAUCUAUUUUCUUUUUUACCAUGUGACUAUACCUAAUUUGUAGAUCGAACUCCUCUCUAUUUCUCUUCCCUUCAUUUUCCCAAAGCUCUUGCUUGAAUGUGAGACACAUGACAUAGGUAAAAAUUAACGAUUAAGAUUUAAUUGAAUUAAAAUAAAAUUCUAAUUAUAAUUUAGAUAAUUCAUAUUUCAUAAGAAAAAUGACAAUACCACAAUCAUAACAAUAUAUUAUCUUGUCCAUAAAUAUAUUAUUAAAAAAAUUCCCUUUUUCUAAUCUUUUUCUUUCUAGUAUUAUCUUCUCUUUUUGUCCAUAAAUAUAUUACUUAUAAAACAAUUUCUCUUUUUCUAAUUUUUUUCCAUGCAAUUAUUUUUGCUAUUAAUUAUAUGUUAACUAGUUUUAAAGAGAAAAUUCAAAGUUGCUAUCUAACACUUACUCAAUUUUUUUUUUUAAAAAAACGGAAGAUAAAUACUUGUAGGAAAAAAAAAUAGAAAAGAGAAAAGUUUUUAUAAUAUAUUUAUGGACAGGAUAUUAUAUUGUUAUGACUUAUGAUUAUGUUAUUAUUAUUUUUCUUAUGAAAUAUUAAUUAUCUAAAACAUAAUUAGAAUCUUAUUUUAAUCAAUUAAAUCUUAGUCAUUAAUUUUUAGCUAUGCCAUGUGUCUCAUAUCUAAACAAGAACUUGGGAAAAAUGGAGAGAAGGAAAUGAAGAGGUGUCGGAUCCCUAAUUUGUUUGGUUCUAAUAUUUAAAAAAUAGACUUAAGUGAUUUCAUUUCUUUCUAGAGGAAAAUCGAUCUAAAUCAAACCAUGAAUUUGUACAGGUAGUCGAUUGGAUAAGGCCUCGAUACCCAAUCAAAACUAUCGGACCAACUAUUCCAUCGAUGUAUCUUGAUAAGAGACUAAAGGAUGACAAAGAAUAUGGUUUGAGUCUCUUCAAGCCUAAUAGUGAAACUUGUAUGAAGUGGCUAGAUUCAAAGGAAAUUGGCUCUGUUGUGUAUGUAUCAUUUGGAAGUUUAGCCAGCCUUGACGAACAACAAAUGGAGGAGCUAGCUUUGGGAUUGAUAAUGAGCAAAUGUUACUUCUUGUGGGUUGUUAGAGCUACAGAAGAGAAUAAACUCCCUGAGGAAUUCAUGUCCAAGUUAUCGGAGAAAGGACUAAUGGUGAAUUGGUGCCCUCAGCUUGAUGUAUUGGCUCAUCGAGCAAUUGGAUGUUUCUUUACUCAUUCUGGAUGGAAUUCGACUCUGGAAGCAUUGAGUUUGGGAGUGCCAAUGGUGACUAUGCCUCAAUGGUCGGAUCAACCAACUAACGCGAAAUUUAUUAGUGAUGUAUGGCAAACAGGAGUUCGCGUUAAGGUUGGAGAAAAUGGUGUAGUUAAUAGAGACGAAAUCGCGAGUUCCAUAAGGGAAGUCAUGGAG